GAACGGUAGCAGGCCUUCGGGCGCUGACGAGUGGCGGACGGGUGAGUAACGCGUAGGAAUCUGCCUCAUAGUGGGGGACAACGUGGGGAAACUCACGCUAAUACCGCAUACGCCCUACGGGGGAAAGCGGGGGAUCUUCGGACCUCGCGCUAUGAGAUGAGCCUGCGUUAGAUUAGCUAGUUGGUGGGGUAAAGGCCUACCAAGGCGACGAUCUAUAGCUGGUCUGAGAGGACGAUCAGCCACACUGGGACUGAGACACGGCCCAGACUCCUACGGGAGGCAGCAGUGGGGAAUAUUGGACAAUGGGCGCAAGCCUGAUCCAGCAAUACCGCGUGUGUGAAGAAGGCCUUAGGGUUGUAAAGCACUUUCAAUUGGGAGGAAAACCUACCGGUCAAUACCCGGUAGCUUGACAUUACCUUUAGAAGAAGCACCGGCUAACUCCGUG
This 445-nucleotide ribosomal RNA is filed under the name uncultured bacterium. RNAcentral's name for it is "bacterial SSU rRNA". It matches the Rfam family "Bacterial small subunit ribosomal RNA", at positions 64 to 507 of the family's 1533-position model. The record is from RNAcentral.